CAGGUCCAGCUGCAGCAGUCUGGGCCUGAGCUGGUGAGGCCUGGGGUCUCAGUGAAGAUUUCCUGCAAGGGUUCCGGCUACACAUUCACUGAUUAUGCUAUGCACUGGGUGAAACAGAGUCAUGCAAAGAGUCUAGAGUGGAUUGGAGUUAUUAGUACUUACUAUGGUGAUGCUAGCUACAACCAGAAGUUCAAGGACAAGGCCACAAUGACUGUAGACAAAUCCUCCAGCACAGCCUAUAUGGAACUUGCCAGACUGACAUCUGAGGACUCUGCCGUCUAUUACUGUGCAAGA
Mus musculus (house mouse) is the source of this 294-nucleotide non-coding RNA. Lineage: Eukaryota; Metazoa; Chordata; Mammalia; Rodentia; Muridae. The record is from the annotation of a RefSeq genome assembly.